Molecule: non-coding RNA, 964 nt
Organism: Pelobates cultripes (western spadefoot toad)
Lineage: Eukaryota; Metazoa; Chordata; Amphibia; Anura; Pelobatidae
Source: the annotation of a GenBank genome assembly
CUUUGCUAAAUCUGAUUUAGUUUAAAAAAAAAAAAAAGGCAGCCACUGGUAUGCUAACUAUCUUUGAAAGGUUUUCUACUACAAACACACUCAGCAAAAGGGCUUCAUCACAGCUAUGUACACACAUUAGCGCUCCGGGAGAGGACCGAGAUAUACAAAGAUAUAUUACACAGUGGGAAGAGGGCUAAUAGCACACUUUAGAAGCGGGGAAGUGAGAAGAUAUAUUGGAAGCAACAAAACAAACCCUCGUAUGUGUAAACCUACAAGAACAAUCAUAAGAACAUGAUGAUGUGGUACACUAUUCCUGUGAAAUUGCAUUUGUUGGGCAAAUCUCCAACAGAUGAAUGCUGGAGGGGCUGUGGACAAAAGGGCACCCAUAUGUGGUGUAUAUGUCCUAAGGUACAACAGUAUUGGAAGAUGGUGAAAAGGCUCUCACUAGACAUUCUCCACUGUUAUGUGGAUGUUGAACCUUGGUCCUUCUUCCAAAUCCAUUGAGGGUAUCCCCAGCGAUGCCCAAAGAUUAUUGAACAAGAUCCUGUUAGCAGCACGCAGUGCCCUGGCACACAGGUGGCUAGCAAUUUAAAUCUUCAAUAAGGAGCACGUCAUAUUAAAAUUCCAAGACAACUAUCUAAUGGUCCAAGUGUGCAGUUGUGGGAGAACUAUGAAGAGACUGAAAGCCAAGAAAAUAUAGGAAGGGAGCUGGAGUGGGUGUGGCAAGAGGGGCUGGUUUGGAUUUUAUUCUCCUAUAUCUGGUUUUCUUUAAUUCUCUUCACUGUCUACAUUGAAAGAAAUAACUUGAAAUUUAGACACAGGAAGUGCCAGACAGCAUUAAGACAGAGUAUGAUGCACACAACCAAAAAACAUUAAGUCUAAUCAGUUCUGUGCUCCUAAAAUAAAACAUUAAAUACAUUUAUAUUUUCAAUGAGAGUAUAUCUACUAAACACGGAUUUAUUUUGUAUUUGUG